GUAGGUGGCAAGCGUUGUCCGGAAUUAUUGGGCGUAAAGCGCGCGCAGGGCGGUUUUUUAAGUCUGAUGUGAAAGCCCACGGGCUCAACCGUGGAGGGUCAUUGGAAACUGGGGAACUUGAGUACAGAAGAGGAAAGCGGAAUUCCACGUGUAGCGGUGAAAUGCGUAGAGAUGUGGAGGAACACCAGUGGCGAAGGCGGCUUUCUGGUCUGUAACUGACGCUGAGGCGCGAAAGCGUGGGGAGCAAACAGGAUUAGAUACCCUGGUAGUCCACGCCGUAAACGAUGAGUGCUAAGUGUUAGGGGGUUUCCGCCCCUUAGUGCUGCAGCUAACGCAUUAAGCACUCCGCCUGGGGAGUACGGCCGCAAGGCUG
Molecule: ribosomal RNA, 373 nt
Filed under: uncultured organism
Description: partial 16S ribosomal RNA
Rfam family: Bacterial small subunit ribosomal RNA
Source: RNAcentral